Molecule: ribosomal RNA, 432 nt
Filed under: uncultured bacterium
Lineage: Bacteria
Description: partial 16S ribosomal RNA
Rfam family: Bacterial small subunit ribosomal RNA
Source: RNAcentral
ACGAACGCUGGCGGCAUGCCUAACCCCUGCAAGUCGAACGAGACCUUCGGGUCUAGUGGCGCACGGGUGCGUAACGCGUGGGAACCUGCCCUUAGGUUCGGCAUAACUCCCCGAAAGGGGUGCUAAUACCGGAUAAUGUCUUCGGACCAAAGAUUUAUCGCCUUUGGAUGGGCCCGCGUUGGAUUAGCUAGUUGGUAGGGUAAAAGCCUACCAAGGCGACGAUCCAUAGCUGGUCUGAGAGGAUGAUCAGCCACACUGGGACUGAGACACGGCCCAGACUCCUACGGGAGGCAGCAGUGGGGAAUAUUGGACAAUGGGCGAAAGCCUGAUCCAGCAAUGCCGCGUGAGUGAUGAAGGCCUUAGGGUUGUAAAGCUCUUUUACCCGGGAUGAUAAUGACAGUACCGGGAGAAUAAGCUCCGGCUAACUCCGUG